Molecule: ribosomal RNA, 333 nt
Filed under: uncultured Bacillota bacterium
Lineage: Bacteria; Bacillati; Bacillota
Description: bacterial SSU rRNA
Rfam family: Bacterial small subunit ribosomal RNA
Source: RNAcentral
GACGAACGCUGGCGGCGUGCCUAAUACAUGCAAGUCGAGCGAAUGGAUGGGAGCUUGCUCCCUGAAAUUAGCGGCGGACGGGUGAGUAACACGUGGGCAACCUGCCUAUAAGACUGGGAUAACUUCGGGAAACCGGAGCUAAUACCGGAUAAUUCAUAUCUACUCAUGUAGAUAUGCUGAAAGACGGUUUGCGCUGUCACUUAUAGAUGGGCCCGCGGCGCAUUAGCUAGUUGGUGAGGUAAUGGCUCACCAAGGCAACGAUGCGUAGCCGACCUGAGAGGGUGAUCGGCCACACUGGGACUGAGACACGGCCCAGACUCCUACGGGAGGCUG